UGUGUAGGCGGCCGCGCAAGUCGGAUGUGAAAGCCCCGGGCUCAACCCGGGAAGUGCACCCGAAACUGCAUGGCUCGAGUACCGGAGAGGUUGGUGGAAUUCUCGGUGUAGAGGUGAAAUUCGUAGAUAUCGAGAGGAACACCGGUGGCGAAGGCGGCCAACUGGACGAGUACUGACGCUGAGACACGAAAGCGUGGGGAGCAAACAGGAUUAGAUACCCUGGUAGUCCACGCCGUAAACGAUGGGUGCUAGGUGUCACGGGCUUUGACUCCUGUGGUGCCGUAGCCAACGCAUUAAGCACCCGCCUGGGAGUACGGCCGCAAGGCUAAA
RNAcentral lists this ribosomal RNA (330 nucleotides) under uncultured bacterium. Its description in RNAcentral is "bacterial SSU rRNA". It matches the Rfam family "Bacterial small subunit ribosomal RNA", at positions 568 to 898 of the family's 1533-position model. The record is from RNAcentral.